This 222-nucleotide long non-coding RNA is filed under the name Elaeis guineensis (African oil palm). Its description in RNAcentral is "long non-coding RNA (EGUI_LNC014651)". The record is from RNAcentral. Lineage: Eukaryota; Viridiplantae; Streptophyta; Magnoliopsida; Arecales; Arecaceae.
CUAUUCAUAUACCAGAUCAGAUCUAAAAUUAUAGCAUGGAUCUUGAUACGAACAUGUACCCAUGAUCUGAUAUCUGAAAUAGAAAAAUAAACUAUUAAAAAAAUAAAAUAAAGAUCGAAUCUCCAUACCUUGGAUCCUGCAGAUGUCCCGGGUACUAAUCAUAGCCACACACGUGCCCGACCUCUAUUGGUAUCCAUACGAAGUCACCUGAUUGGAGCACCG